CCUACGGGAGGCAGCAGUGGGGAAUAUUGCACAAUGGGGGAAACCCUGAUGCAGCGAAGCCGCGUGAGUGAAGAAGUAUUUCGGUAUGUUAAGCUCUGUCAGCCGGGAAGAAAAUGACGGUACCUGAACAAGAAGCCCCGGCUAACUACGUGCCAGCAGCCGCGGUAAUACGUAGGGGGCAAGCGUUAUUCGGAUUUACUGGGUGUAAAGGGGGCGUAGGCGGGAAUGCAAGUCUGGAGGGAAAGGCGGGGGCUCAACCCCCGAACUGCUCUGGAAACUGGCGGGCGGGAGUGCAGGAGAGGUAAGUGGAAUUCGUAGUGUAGCGGUGAAAUGCGUAGAUAUUAGGAAGAACACCGGUGGCGAAGGCAGCUUACUGGACUGUAACUGACGUUGAGGCUCGAAAGCGUGGGGAGCAAACAGGAUUAGAUACCCUUGUAGUC
RNAcentral lists this ribosomal RNA (440 nucleotides) under uncultured bacterium. RNAcentral's name for it is "partial 16S ribosomal RNA". It matches the Rfam family "Bacterial small subunit ribosomal RNA", at positions 338 to 795 of the family's 1533-position model. The record is from RNAcentral.